This is a long non-coding RNA of Papaver somniferum (opium poppy), 353 nucleotides long. RefSeq lists it as uncharacterized. NCBI's taxonomy places the organism in Eukaryota, Viridiplantae, Streptophyta, Magnoliopsida, Ranunculales, Papaveraceae. The record is from RefSeq and is a predicted model, not a curated record. The transcript has 4 exons.
UAUUGUGGUGACUCCAAUUUGAAUCAAUCAAUUUAUUCCAAUUUGUUCUUUUGAAGCUACUUCAGGUCAGAGUAGAAAAAUAUAAUUUUUAUGGAAUCAAUGAAUUUUGAAUCUAGGAAAAUCAACACUUGUGGUGGUGUUGAUGGUGGAGGUGCAGGUUUUGGAGGAGGAUGAGGAGGCAGUGGUGGUACUGGAUCAGAUUUGGAAGAUAAUUUGUAUUUGGAGUUAGUGGUGGUGUUUUGGUAUGAAGCUGAGAGGUUUGGUAUGGAUGUUAGAGCUGUGUUAGACAUUGUUUCAGAUAACUUCAUAAAAGCUAAUUGCUUAAACGUGGUAAUGAUCUCGCUGGAACUGGA